AUCUUGAAUAUAUAGAUAGAGAUAAACUGUAAACAGCAAUAAUGUACAGCAAAGUAAGACCUACAAAUAAGUCAACAUGAUCAAAAUGGUCAAUUGACCCCUUAAGGAGUUAUUGCGCUUUAUAGUCAAUUUUUAACAAUUUUCAUAAAUUUUGUAAAUUUUUGUAAAUUUUUACAAAAUAUUUUCCACUGUAACUACUGGGCCAAGUUCAUUAUAGAUAGAGAUAAUUGUAAGCAGC
RNAcentral lists this long non-coding RNA (238 nucleotides) under Mytilus galloprovincialis (Mediterranean mussel). Lineage: Eukaryota; Metazoa; Mollusca; Bivalvia; Mytilida; Mytilidae. The record is from RNAcentral.